GGGGUGGGCAAGUCUGGUGUCAGCCGCCGCGGUAAUACCAGCACCCCGAGUGGUCGGGACGAUUAUUGGGCCUAAAGCAUCCGUAGCCGGUUCUGCAAGUCCUCCGUUAAAUCCACCUGCUUAACAGAUGGGCUGCGGAGGAUACUACAGAGCUAGGAGGCGGGAGAGGCAAGCGGUACUCAGUGGGUAGGGGUAAAAUCCUUUGAUCCACUGAAGACCACCAGUGGCGAAGGCGGCUUGCCAGAACGCGCUCGACGGUGAGGGAUGAAAGCUGGGGGAGCAAACCGGAUUAGAUACCCGGGUAGUCCCAGCUGUAAACGAUGCAGACUCGGUGAUGGGUUGGCUUCGUGCCAACUCAGUGCCGCAGGGAAGCCGUUAAGUCUGCCGCCUGGGGAGUACGGUCGC
RNAcentral lists this ribosomal RNA (405 nucleotides) under uncultured archaeon. RNAcentral describes it as "bacterial SSU rRNA". It matches the Rfam family "Archaeal small subunit ribosomal RNA", at positions 439 to 844 of the family's 1478-position model. The record is from RNAcentral.